AUCAACUUUCGAUGGUAGGAUAGAGGCCUACCAUGGUGGUAACGGGUAACGGGGUGUUAGGGCACGACACCGGAGAGGGAGCCUGAGAAACGGCUACCACAUCCAAGGAUGGCAGCAGGCGCGCAAAUUACCCAAUCCCGACACGGGGAGGUAGUGACAAUAAAUAACAAUACGGGAUUCUAAAGGAUUUCGUAAUUGGAAUGAGUACAAUUUAAAUCUCUUAACGAUCAACAAUUGGAGGGCAAGUCUGGUGCCAGCAGCCGCGGUAAUUCCAGCUCCAAUAGCGUAUAUUAAAGUUGUUGCAGUUAAAAAGCUCGUAGUUGAAUUUCGGGGUUAGUAGGUUGGUCAUGCCUCUGGUAUGUACUGAUCUCACUGAUUCCUCCCUCUUGACGAACUGUAAUGUCAUUAAUUUGGUGUUCCAGGAAAUCAGGACUGUUACUUUGAAAAAAUUAGAGUGUUUAAAGCAGGCUAAGGCUUGAAUACAUUAGCAUGGAAUAAUGAAAUAGGACGUUUGAACCUAUUUUGUUGGUUCCUAGGAUCGACGUAAUGAUUAAUAGGGAUAGUUGGGGGCAUUAGUAUUCAAUUGUCAGAGGUGAAAUUCUUGGAUUUAUUGAAGACUAACUACUGCGAAAGCAUUUGCCAAGGAUGUUUUCAUUAAUCAAGAACGAAAGUUAGGGGAUCGAAGACGAUCAGAUACCGUCGUAGUCUUAACCAUAAACUAUGCCGACUAGGGAUCGGAUGAUGUUAAUUUUUUAAUGACUCAUUCGGCGCCUUACGGGAAACCAAAGUGUUUGGGUUC
RNAcentral lists this ribosomal RNA (799 nucleotides) under uncultured Glomeromycotina. Its description in RNAcentral is "SSU rRNA". It matches the Rfam family "Eukaryotic small subunit ribosomal RNA", at positions 314 to 1114 of the family's 1831-position model. Lineage: Eukaryota; Fungi; Glomeromycota. The record is from RNAcentral.